CAAUAGCGCAUAUUAAAGUUGUUGCAGUUAAAAAGCUCGUAGUUGGAUUUCGGGGCAGCCUGGCUGGUCCGCCGCAAGGCGAGUACUGGUCAGCCGCCCUUCCUCUCGAAAGCCCCGACUGCUCUUCGUUGCAGUGGUCGGGUAGUUCGGGACGUUUACUUUGAAAAAAUUAGAGUGUUCAAGGCAGGCCUACGCCUGAAUACAUUAGCAUGGAAUAAUGGAAGAGGACCUCGGUCCUAUUUUGUUGGUUUCCAGGGCCGAAGUAAUGAUUAAGAGGGACAGUUGGGGGCAUUCGUAUUUAAUUGUCAGAGGUGAAAUUCUCGGAUUUAUGAAAGACGAACAACUGCGAAAGCAUUUGCCAAGGAUGUUUUCAUUAA
Molecule: ribosomal RNA, 377 nt
Filed under: uncultured eukaryote
Lineage: Eukaryota
Description: partial 18S ribosomal RNA
Rfam family: Eukaryotic small subunit ribosomal RNA
Source: RNAcentral